RNAcentral lists this ribosomal RNA (259 nucleotides) under Escherichia coli. RNAcentral's name for it is "partial 16S ribosomal RNA". It matches the Rfam family "Bacterial small subunit ribosomal RNA", at positions 1 to 256 of the family's 1533-position model. Lineage: Bacteria; Pseudomonadati; Pseudomonadota; Gammaproteobacteria; Enterobacterales; Enterobacteriaceae. The record is from RNAcentral.
AAAUUGAAGAGUUUGAUCAUGGCUCAGAUUGAACGCUGGCGGCAGGCCUAACACAUGCAAGUCGAACGGUAACAGGAAGCAGCUUGCUGCUUCGCUGACGAGUGGCGGACGGGUGAGUAAUGUCUGGGAAACUGCCUGAUGGAGGGGGAUAACUACUGGAAACGGUAGCUAAUACCGCAUAAUGUCGCAAGACCAAAGAGGGGGACCUUCGGGCCUCUUGCCAUCGGAUGUGCCCAGGUGGGAUUAGCUUGUUGGUGGG